GCCUAACCAUAACACAACAAUCAAAUUACUAAUUGUUCGCCAAAUAACUACGAGUAAAAACUUAAAAUUUAAAAGACUUGACGGUGCCUUAAAACAACCUAGAGGAGCCUGUCUAAUAACCGAUACCCCACGAUUAACCCAACCCACCCUAGCCAACAGUCUAUAUACCGCCGUCGCCAGCCUACCUUAUGAAAGAAACAAAGUAAGCUUAAUAGUUAUACACUAACACGACAGGUCGAGGUGUAACUAAUGGGGGGGUCCAAGAUGGGCUACAUUUUCUAAACCAGAAAAUACGAAUUAACCUAUGAAAAAGAAACUGAAGGCGGAUUUAGCAGUAUGCUAGGAACAACAAACCUAGCAGAAAUUAACGCAAUGAGGUGCGUACACACCGCCCGUCAUCCCUGCCAACUAACAACUAAAACAUACAUAAGCCAAAACUAACUACUAAGCAGGGCAAGUCGUAACAUGGUAAGCGUACUGGAAAGUGCGCUUAGAAA
Molecule: ribosomal RNA, 497 nt
Filed under: Elaphe bimaculata (Chinese leopard snake)
Lineage: Eukaryota; Metazoa; Chordata; Lepidosauria; Squamata; Colubridae
Description: partial 12S ribosomal RNA
Rfam family: Bacterial small subunit ribosomal RNA
Source: RNAcentral